GCAUUUGCGUAAUGUCACCCGUAGAGUGAAGCAACUUAUAAUGAAAGAAAAACAACAAGAAAGAUGAGUAAGAAAGGAGGGAUACACGCGCACGAGCUAGUGCGAGGGUAUUUACGUAUCCUGGAUCGUGGAUGCAAAUAUGGCAUAAGAUCAGGCUGUGGCAGCUCGCGCCUGGACGUAUACUCGCCAAGACAGUAUUAUGGGUAGGUUAGCUCAUGAGCUCUACAAGAACCAAGGUAGGUUGGACCGCACCCUGUUCCUCGAGCAUCUAUCGGGCCUCGCUAUAGUGCAUAUACGCACACCCUCUUUCUCUCUCAACGACCUGGUUAGUCUUUUACACAUGCACAUAAGCUGAAACGACACGCACACGCGUUCCAGAGAACAAGAUGCGAGGUUAACGCUCCCCGCGAUAUCUCAAAUCGACGCUUGAGUGUGUCCCUUAUAAGUGUGUAUAUGCUUCAAGAGACGUGUGGGUACGGGAACUUACCUUGAGGCCCUGGCGCAAGAGUCCUGUCCAGUUUUCCCAUGGGCACAAUACGCUAUGGGAUAUAAUAACGACUUUACGGCGUGGGAGAUGCGUCUUAUUUAUUUGUACUUCGUUAUAUCUUUUGUUAUUUUCGGAUAAUUUUUUUUCGUUAUCAGAAUCAAUAAUCCAUUUAGUUUCAAUUUCCAAGGAUUUUGCAAAUCACGGAGAUCAUUUUAUACUCAUGUUAAUAAUUUUGGUGUUGACGUGAUAAGACGCGCACACAAGAAUGAGCAGGUAAAAAAAUAAGUAGUAUUUAAAGAUCACGAGAUCCUUAAGCCAUAGAAAACAGUACCCACUGGUUUUAGAUGUACAACAGAUUUGUACAAUAUUUCAUUGUGUGUUGGGCCUUAAAAAUGUCCUUGACUCGCAGGGAGGUCAAUUCAAGUAUAUUGAAAGACUCUGAAGGUCUUUACAAAAAAAAUAUUUCUUGAGUGUGAAGAUAAAUACAAGUAUUGUAAUAUAAUGGACAUUUCUGAUGGAUGCAAAUUCCACUUUUUAGUGGCAUGGGAGAAGAAAAUUGACGUUUGAAAUUGAUGAUAGAAGUUGAAAAGAAA
Microplitis mediator is the source of this 1080-nucleotide long non-coding RNA. RefSeq lists it as uncharacterized. The transcript has 3 exons. The record is from RefSeq and is a predicted model, not a curated record. NCBI's taxonomy places the organism in Eukaryota, Metazoa, Arthropoda, Insecta, Hymenoptera, Braconidae.